This 260-nucleotide ribosomal RNA is filed under the name Rhizophagus irregularis. Lineage: Eukaryota; Fungi; Glomeromycota; Glomeromycetes; Glomerales; Glomeraceae. The record is from RNAcentral.
CAGUCGUACCUGCGGGCAAUCAGCCUUUUGGGUGUGAUUAUGUGGAGCGUGAGGAGUUAAUCACCCUUAUCUUUUCAUAUUCGUGCACUUUGGGUGUACUUGCCCGUGUGUAAGUUAACAUCAAUUUUGGUGGUCAUAAAAUGGCUGGAGGAAUGUAGCUUCGAUCUCGUAUUGAAGUGUUAUAGCCUUCGGUAGAUGUGAUGAUCGGGAUUGAGGUAUUGCAACGGAUACCCGUUCGGGGCUACCUGUCUGGUCUCUGA